RNAcentral lists this long non-coding RNA (5654 nucleotides) under Sus scrofa (pig). RNAcentral's name for it is "lncRNA (ENSSSCG00035069644.1)". The record is from RNAcentral. Lineage: Eukaryota; Metazoa; Chordata; Mammalia; Artiodactyla; Suidae.
GCACAUGGAGUUCCCAGGCUAGGGGUCGAAUUGGAGCUGCAGCUGCCAACCUAUGCCACACCCAUAGCAACACAGGAUCCGAGCCGCAUCUGCAAUCUACACCACAGCUCACUGCAAUGUCGGAUUCCUGACCCACUGAGUGAGGCCAGAGAUCAAACCUACAUCCUCAUAGAUAUUAGUCGGAUUUGAUUCCACUGUGCCACAACAGGAACUCCUAUCAUUUUCAAAUUAUUUCAAACAGAGGUGUCAUUACAUUUCCCCCUCCCUUUAUUUUGAAGUUAGGAUUUCAGGAAAAUUAGAAAAUUAUGUGCUAAAACUUCUCUUACUACAAACACUGAGGAAAGAGAAAACUCACAUGCAUGUUGUCAAGCUAAAUUACGGCUGAACUGGAGGACCAUAACCAUAUGCAUCCAUAUGCAUUGACUGUUGUGGCAGAUAUAAUUAGUAAAAUUAGUCAAACUCACCAGCCAAUCUGUGUCAAAUCAAACCAGCAAAACCUGUGUUUGUUGGCAGAGCACUAGAGUUGAAUAGGCUGAGAUUAUUUCACUGCAAGAUAAUUCUGGUUUGCUAACUCUGGCUUACCCAUAACAAUGACUAACCUUCAAAUAAAAUUAUAAAGGCAUUCUGGCCUUCAGAAAGAAAGGAACAAACAAGUUUCCUAAAGUACUCAACAAUACUCUUAUUGCAUCCUAAAAGGACUUACUUCAAUUAAUCUGGAAAACCCUCUAAUUUCUGGGGAAAAGUCCCCAGGGAAACCCUUACAUACAAGAAGAAAAGUCCUUCCACUGACUCUUAAAUUGCAUUAGGCAACCCUAAUUUCAUUAGAUAUGGUAUAUUGGGACAAUUCAACUAUGAAAUAUAUUAUUUUCAAAGAAAAAUCACAGACAAAACCUUAGCCAGGAUAUAGUGUCCACCUAUAAAAUCGAGGCAAAUUAAUUCCAUCAAUAAUCCCACCUAUAGUCAUCAACAGUUUUAAUAAGAAUAUUUUGGGGAGUUCCUGUCGUGGCACAGUGGAAAUGAAUCCGACUAGGAACCAUGAGGUUGCAGGUUCAAUCCCUGGCCUUGCUCAGUGGGUUAAGGAUCCCGCGUUGCUGUGGCUGUGGUGUAGGCCGGUGGCUACAGCUCCGAUUAGACCCCUAGCCUGGGAGCCUCCCUAUCCUAUGCGGUGCCGCCCUAAAAAAAAAAAAAGGAACGAUAACUUUUUUGGUACAAGGAUAUUUAUUUAUGUUUUUUAUACACACUCUAAAGUGUUUGGAAUUUGGAGGACACCAAUCUGAAUAGUUUCUCUUUUUAGAUAUAGGAUUCCUGUUAUAGUUAACAGAGGUAUUUUGAUUCUCUCCUUUAAAGUUUUAUGAAAUGUCAUUGACUUCUUGUGCAAGAUGACUAAUUUGCCUAAAAUGGAACGAGAAAAAAAAAAUCUUAAGACUCAGAAAUCAAGAAAUCAUGAAGGCACCUUCCUCCUAGUUUUCCUGAGUAGGUGCCAUUCAGUAACUUCAGCACAGGUGGUCAUGAUAGAAUGCCUGUCCCAACUGUCAGCUUGACUAAGCACAUUUCUAAAGCUUUCCUAAAGCUUUCCAUAUUGGCAUUUAAUCUUUUAUUUAGUCACGGAAACAUGAAGUCACCAUUUUUAAAACUGCCAAGAGAAACUGGGGGAGGAAAGUGUUAUCUUUCUUCAGCUCCCAGCAAAGCACUCCAAGAUAAUAGGAAGACAAGAAUAUUUCUUCCAUUAACCCCUUGACCCUCCAACUUAAUGGCUUUUUGUUGAAAAUAUAUCAACAAACAGGGCCUCAUGUGCGAUUCUAACCCAGGGAGUAAGGUCUCUACAAUUACAUGGGAUUGUGUCUGGAUGCUCCAUUCUGACACCUAAUACACUUAAUGGAAGGGCCAGGCUGCCCCAGAAGCUGACCAGGAAGCAAAAUCACCAUCUUCUCAGAGCAAUUUCUAGAGAAACCCACAAAGACACGUAAAUUAUUGUUUUAAACUUAAACACACCAGAAGGGCUGCCAGGUCUGUUUUUUGCCUGGUCUGUUUUUGCCUUACGCUAUUGCAUAAUGAAGGCAACAUUUUCAUCAUCAAUGCAGAACUCAAAAUCUAUGCUACGAUGAAAUUGAGUGCAAAAAAAAAAAAAUUGGAAAGAAAAUUUUAAGCCAUUUCCUAAAGCAAAUAUUACAAUUUGCAUAAACUGUCCAAUUAGUAUGCUUUAGAUACUGUUUAAAAAGAUGACAGUGACAAUCAAAAUUAUGAUCACUUCCUAUUAUUUUAAUAUUAAGAUUGUGCUGGGAUUUCCCAAAUUAAAAUGUUAAUAAGUAAGGGCUUCAUCAAGUUGAUUUGGGAUGCAAGGAAAAAAAUGACUUAAUUUCUUCAAAAUCAAAAUCUCAUCAGAAGUGUACUUAGACAAAUGAGAAAUCUUUAAAGGAUAAAAUAACAUUAAAUUAUUAUAUUUUCAUAACUUUUUCCUAAUUGUAAAAGUGCACCUUCUCUAACAAUUUCCUUUUGAUAAUUUUCUAAAAGAGGAAAUAUUAUGUUAGAGAACACGCUUUUUUUUUUUUUUUUUUUUUUUUUUUUUUUGGCUGUGCCUGUGACAUAGAAGAUCCCCUGGCCAGGGGUCAAACUCCAGCCACAGCAGUGACAGUACUGAAUCCUUAACUGCUAGGCCACCAGGGAACUCCCAAGAACAUGUUGAAAGGUCUCAAUUUAUACUGUUAAAUUAACCCCUUCUACUCUAGAAAAUCUGUUCAAAUGUAUAUGUUGUUACAUCUUUCAGUAACAAAAAAAAAAUCUGUAAAUGAUAAUUUUAGAUUUAAUUCAAAUCACUAUUAAAAACCAAUUUGGAGUAAAAACUUAGACUUAUAAAUGUCCUAUUAUUUCUAAGUUAUUAAAACAUAAAACUACAGAAAUAUCUUUACUCAUUUAUGUGGCAGUAACCAUGCAUCAGAUUAAAAUAAAUAAUGCUUUAAGAAUGAUAGGAUUUAUAAGAGAUUAAAGUAAAUUUACUUCCCAAAUUAUAAACUGUACUUGGAUUAGCAUGAUCAAUUAAUAUUUACUAUAAAUACAUAAUGUAGUACAUGCCAAUGAAAUUUGACUAGUAGCUAGUAUAAACUAACAUGACUAUUGAGGUUUGACCUAUAAAAUGUAAUAAUAAGACAAAAACAUAACACAGCUGUGUGACUGCCAAUCAUCCAUGUAAAACAAAUAAUGAAUAUCCCAUUUCUAGAAGAAACUUCAGACAUAGAUUAAAAAACAAUGACCUUCUGAAAUCAGAAUAGUGUUGCAGAAUUAUUAAAUCCAAGUUGAUGAACUGUAGAAAAACUGAAAGCUAAAGAACAUGCGGGAAAAUAUUAAACUUUUGUUCAGUGUACUUAUAGAAAAGUUUGCCCUAAAUCUAUACCUGUCACUGUUUCCAAUUACGUUUUAUGCUAAAUUCAUUUAAAGAAAAUGAAAUAACAUUUACAAGUGGGUUUUGCCAGCUGUUAUGCUAGUUAUUAUAAUUAUGAACAGAAAUAGCAAUAAAUGCUAUAGAACAUAUCUGAAAAUAAUUACUUUUCCAAUAGAGCCCCCUAGUCUGACAUUAUUAAUUACACAUCAAUCUAUAUAUAGUAAGUUAAUAAAAAGUCAGCUUUAAUCUUAAAUUGUACUGACCUUUACAUACAAGGAGGUCCUAUUAACUCAGUAGGAUAUGAACUUUAGGUUGUUUUUCCAAUUCUAAUGAUAAAUGCACUGAGUCAACCUUACAUUGUAUGCAGCCCUUUCAAGAUUAUACACACAUUCAUUCAUUCAUCAGUAAAUGCCUAUUGAGUGCUCUUAUGCUACUGGCACUAAAUACUGAGGCUACAAGCUAAACAAAAGCGGUCAUGACCUAGGUCCUCAUGGAAUUUGUAAUGCAGAGGUAAAAAAAGAUAUUAAUCAAAUAUCUUUCAUGAUGUUUAUCACACACAUGGGUAAAAAUCUACAGUUAUAGUAAGUGCUGUGUAGGAACAAUGGCCAGGGCUACAAGGGGAUGGAAUCCAGGGUUUGGAGAGGGCUUUUUGAGGAAGUGGCAUUUAACUAGGAAUAUAAGCACAAGUAAGCACUAAUUAAAUGAGAAAGAAGGGAGAGGGUCAUCAGCAGAGGGGAUGGCUGGCACAAAGAAGAGCAGGAACACAGAGUGGGAGGGGCAGGAUGCUAAGCUACCUGGUGAGACAGGUGACCAAAUAUGCAAACUUCAUAGCAGCAUGGGUUGAGGAUUUGGGUCAUCAUCCCAAGACAAGUGGUGGCCAUUGAAGAAUUUUAGGGAGAGAACUCUCUUGUUCAGAUCCAGGUUUUGGAAACAGUAUUCUGCCUAUACACUGGACAAUGUUCUAAAGUAAAUGCCUGGAGACCAUUGGAAGGGCAUUGCAAUAGUGUAGGUACACUGACGAUACUUUGGGCUGGAAAGGUAACAGAACAGUGGAUAUAGAGAGAAACAGAUGCAAGAGGAAGAAAUUUAGGAGGUAAAAUGGGCAGGUUGUGGGGAGAGAUUGGCCUUGUUAGCAAGGAAGAGUGAGGGAUCAAGAUUUAGGCUUGACCUCCUCGGUAAUACCAUGUGUUGUGAUAAAGAACACAGGAAGAAGAGGAGUCUAAUAGAAGAAACUUGUGAGUUUGUUAUAGACAUCUUGGACCCAAGAUAUCAAAGAGAAGAUGUCAGGAAAAGUGUGGCCGAUAUAGAACAUGAGAUAUAAACUUGUAAGGCAUCAGCCUGGGGUUUAUUAAGGAAAGACAACAACAGGAUGACCCUUCAGAAAUUAAAGCUGGAUUUAAAGUAAAUAAAACUUUAUAAAUGCAAUAAAGCUUUUACACAGAAACUGUAUAUUAAGUUAGGUAUAUAUACCAGGGCUCCCGGUAAUAAAGCAGAGCUAUAAAUGUUAGAAUAUGAAGAGCACAUUUUUGCACUUCUGAAUCAGCAUUCCCAGUGUGCAGUAGGAUGGAAAUGCCUUUUGCCAUCAAAAAAGGAAAAGUAGUGCACAGUGAAGAAAAGACAAAUGCUAUGCUCAUAUAAACUAAGAGUAAAUUCAGCUUGCCCUGCAGUAAGGACGUAAUUCAAUAAUAUCCACAGAUAUUAGAUUUUCUGUUAUAGAGUACCCUUGAAUAGGUAAACUUUAUCUCACUUUUUAGUUCACGUAAUUUAUAUUGACAGUGAAUGAAGAUAAAACUUUAUUCACAUAAAAAAUUACUCUGACAAUCUUAAAAUAAUCUGGUUUUUCAGAUGAAACAGCUCUUAUUUUUCCCUCCAUUUGUUACUUAUGGUUUUCCCAGCCUGGUUGCACUAAAACGAUUUUUGGUCAUCAUCUUCACUGAGUGUCCUAUAGAGAAAAAGCCUAAGCAAGUAAACAGGAGGAUAGCAUUCGUGUUACCACGCUGGAUCAAUCUCCAGUUACAGAUUCCAAUCGCAGAGGAGGCAGAAAACCUUUCAGAGCCACUUAUAUCAAAUAUUAUCCCCUAACUGAAAAUGUGAUAAGUCAGCAGACAAUUCUUCCUCAGACUUGACAAAAACUGUGGUGAUUAUUACUCAUUCUUAUCAACCACCUGAGGCUCAUAAAAAGCUGAAUAUAUAUAGGCUCAUAAAAUUUCAUAGAAUAUGGAACUGUUCAUGUCAAGGUCAGUGUAAACCUCUCUGUGGCCAAAUACAAUGGACCCCC